Molecule: ribosomal RNA, 445 nt
Filed under: uncultured bacterium
Lineage: Bacteria
Description: partial 16S ribosomal RNA
Rfam family: Bacterial small subunit ribosomal RNA
Source: RNAcentral
GUGAGGAAUAUUGGUCAAUGGGCGCAAGCCUGAACCAGCCAUGCCGCGUACAGGAAGACGGUCCUAUGGAUUGUAAACUGCUUUUAUUUGGGAAUAAACUCCGGUACGUGUACCGGCCUGAAGGUACCAAAUGAAUAAGCACCGGCUAACUCCGUGCCAGCAGCCGCGGUAAUACGGAGGGUGCAAGCGUUAUCCGGAAUCAUUGGGUUUAAAGGGUCCGCAGGCGGUCUUAUAAGUCAGUGGUGAAAGCCUACAGCUCAACUGUAGAACUGCCAUUGAUACUGUAGGACUUGAAUUCGAUCGAAGUGGGCGGAAUGUGACAUGUAGCGGUGAAAUGCUUAGAUAUGUCACAGAACACCGAUAGCGAAAGCAGCUCACUAGGUCUGGAUUGACGCUCAGGGACGAAAGCGUGGGGAGCAAACAGGAUUAGAAACCCGAGUAGUCC